RNAcentral lists this unclassified non-coding RNA (336 nucleotides) under uncultured Spizellomycetales. RNAcentral's name for it is "sequence contains 5.8S rRNA gene, ITS2, 28S rRNA gene". Lineage: Eukaryota; Fungi; Chytridiomycota; Chytridiomycetes; Spizellomycetales. The record is from RNAcentral.
AACGCACAUUGCGCUUCCUGGUAUUCCGGGGAGCAUGCCCGUUUCAGAAUCAUUUGAAAAUCUCACGCAUCUGGAUGCUUUUUGCGAAGCGUUCGCAUGGCGUGGAUCUGGAUUUUUGCGGAUGCAAUCAUCUGGAAUGCGUUGCGUGCAUGCCAACCGUUCUGUCUCUGGUUUGCCGAGUGCAACAGAUUCAUUUCUCUUUUUCACUUGGGGACAACCUCGAGACGGAUGUUGGUGAUGCGUGCUCACCCCGACAACACACGGUGGUCGAAUCUGGAUUGAUUUGGCUGCUGACUACUUGAUCUGAAAUCGGGCAAGAGAACCCGCUGAACUUAA